This 681-nucleotide long non-coding RNA is filed under the name Homo sapiens (human). RNAcentral describes it as "non-protein coding lnc-TMEM234-3:8". Lineage: Eukaryota; Metazoa; Chordata; Mammalia; Primates; Hominidae. The record is from RNAcentral.
AAAAAAAAACCAUUUCAUGGACAGAACGAGACGCUGUCUCAAAGAUUAGGAACUCCUCUGUGGGUCGUGUGUGCCGUGAGACUGGACUCCCUAAAGGGCUCUGUGUCCCUUUUAUCAGAUGGGCUCUUUACAGGAUUCUGUGUCUCCCUCAUUGGUCUUGAGCACUUGCUCCCUGGCUGUACUUGGCAAGGGCUUGAGCUGGAAAAGAUGACCAGACUCCCACCGCCCAGAGGGCGUCCCCUGCAGGAGAGCUUCAUGCGCCUGGUGGAGGCCUGUGGGGACUCGGAGCAAAGCAUGGACAACUGGCUGAGUCGGCUGGACGGCUGCCGCUGACUGUAACAUGUAAAGCAGGCACUGAGCACCACCUGCCUGGCAGUCCAGGGCAUGGAGAGGCACAGACAGCACCCUGCUUGUGACUUCACUGGCCCAACUCAUCCUGGACCCCUUGAGCAAGACCAUGGCUGGAUUCCAGGAACUGGUGGAGUGGAAGUGGAUCCAGGAAAGUAAGUGACCACCCAACCCCAGCCUUACCCUCCAUCCAGAAACUUGCUUCCUCGUGCCCAUUGCUCUGCCCCCUCCCCAGGCCAGCCACCCCUUCCAGCUGCGCUGUGCCCAUUCAGCCUUCUCCCAUGCCCACCCCAAGCAUGAGGCACCCACCUUUCUCCUCUUCCUGGACUGCGU